This 347-nucleotide ribosomal RNA is filed under the name uncultured bacterium. RNAcentral describes it as "partial 16S ribosomal RNA". It matches the Rfam family "Bacterial small subunit ribosomal RNA", at positions 338 to 682 of the family's 1533-position model. The record is from RNAcentral.
CCUACGGGAGGCUGCAGUGAGGAAUAGUGGUCAAUGGACGAGAGUCUGAACCAGCCAAGUAGCGUGAAGGAUGACUGCCCUAUGGGUUGUAAACUUCUUUUAUAAAGGAAUAAAACGAGGCACGUGUGCAUUUUUGCAUGUACGUUAUGAAUAAGGAUAGGAUAACUCCGUGCCAGCAUCCGCGGUAAUACGGAGGAUCCGAGCGUUAUCCGGAUUUAUUGGGUUUAAAGGGAGCGUAGAUGGGUUGUUAAGUCAGUUGUGAAAGUUUGCGGCUCAACCGUAAAAUUUCACUUGAUACUGGCAGUCUUGAGUACAGUUGCGGUAGGCGGAAUUCGUGUUGUAGCGGU